This 32-nucleotide non-coding RNA is filed under the name Mus musculus (house mouse). Lineage: Eukaryota; Metazoa; Chordata; Mammalia; Rodentia; Muridae. The record is from RNAcentral.
UGCCAGAUUGGUGUUUACUGGUUUGCUCCUUC